This 570-nucleotide ribosomal RNA is filed under the name uncultured Arcobacter sp. RNAcentral's name for it is "bacterial SSU rRNA". It matches the Rfam family "Bacterial small subunit ribosomal RNA", at positions 64 to 657 of the family's 1533-position model. Lineage: Bacteria; Pseudomonadati; Campylobacterota; Epsilonproteobacteria; Campylobacterales; Arcobacteraceae. The record is from RNAcentral.
AGAUUAGCUUGCUUUAUUUGUCAGCUAAGUGGCGCACGGGUGAGUAAUGUAUAGGUAAUAUGCCUCUUACUAAGGGAUAACAAAUGGAAACGUUUGCUAAUACCUUAUACUCCUUAUUAACAUAAGUUAAUAAGGGAAAGAUUUAUUGGUAAGAGAUUAGCCUGUAUUGUAUCAGUUAGUUGGUGGGGUAAUGGCUUACCAAGACUAUGACACAUAACUGGUUUGAGAGGAUGAUCAGUCACACUGGAACUGAGACACGGUCCAGACUCCUACGGGAGGCAGCAGUGGGGAAUAUUGCACAAUGGACGAAAGUCUGAUGCAGCAACGCCGCGUGGAGGAUGACACAUUUCGGUGCGUAAACUCCUUUUAUAUGAGAAGAUAAUGACGGUAUUAUAUGAAUAAGCACCGGCUAACUCCGUGCCAGCAGCCGCGGUAAUACGGGGGGUGCAAGCGUUACUCGGAAUCACUGGGCGUAAAGAGCAUGUAGGCGGAUCAAUAAGUUUGAAGUGAAAUCCUAUAGCUUAACUAUAGAACUGCUUUGAAAACUGUUAAUCUAGAAUGUGGGAGAGG